Long non-coding RNA from Helianthus annuus (common sunflower), 159 nucleotides. RefSeq lists it as uncharacterized. The transcript is spliced from 2 exons. Lineage: Eukaryota; Viridiplantae; Streptophyta; Magnoliopsida; Asterales; Asteraceae. The record is from RefSeq and is a predicted model, not a curated record.
GUGUGGUUUUUGUUGCUACCACAUGGCUACCAGCAACAACCGAGUUGGUCAUGAGAUUUCAUGUGGUACUGAGUUUCUGAGCCUCAUAAGAAUACUUGGAGAAGGCUUUGAUGAUUGGGUAGAAUUUAUGCAAGGAUGAAUUUUUAUUGUGUUGGCGGC